GAGAGCAGAGCAGAGGCUCGCUCUCUGGUUCAGGUUCAUCCCUGUUUGGCAUCUGUUGGGACUUUUUCUGCUAUUUUUUUCCCCUGUUUUUGGAAGCAGAAGAUCCCACUGUUCCAACUGGUGGGAUCUUUCUUUUAGUUUUUGCAGACGGUUUUGAACCAUCCCAGAGGAUCCCUGAUCCAUCAUUUCAGAAACAUGAUCAUCAGACUGGGCAGGCUUACACCUGGAUACUUCCGCCUUCUUCAGAGGCAGGUGGCUGGUGAGGUCCAGACCCAGUCACACGACCGCACCGUUAACCAGAUCGCCAUGAUGCUGGCCAUCAUGGGUCUUAGUUUGUCUUAUUACAGCGCCAAACAGAUGACAGAGAAGGUCCACGUCCAGCCGGCACCCUGAAGAGACGCGGUCGCUCCACAGUCUUGAGAUGACGGAUGAACCAAUGACAACUGGAGGAGACCACAGAGGUGGAGGCAGGAAGCGAGAUGUGGUGGUGUGUCUCUGGACAGCACUUUUCUCACCUCAGUCUUUGAUCUCACCCAUCCACUGAUUCCCUGGGAUCCUCCACACAUAAGUGGCAGAGCUUUAUAGGG
Cyprinodon variegatus (sheepshead minnow) is the source of this 587-nucleotide long non-coding RNA. RefSeq lists it as uncharacterized. The transcript is spliced from 3 exons. The record is from RefSeq and is a predicted model, not a curated record. NCBI's taxonomy places the organism in Eukaryota, Metazoa, Chordata, Actinopteri, Cyprinodontiformes, Cyprinodontidae.